Molecule: ribosomal RNA, 492 nt
Filed under: uncultured bacterium
Lineage: Bacteria
Description: partial 16S ribosomal RNA
Rfam family: Bacterial small subunit ribosomal RNA
Source: RNAcentral
AGUGAACGCUGGCGGUAGGCCUAACACAUGCAAGUCGAACGGCAGCACAGUAAGAGCUUGCUCUUACGGGUGGCGAGUGGCGGACGGGUGAGGAAUACAUCGGAAUCUACUUUUUCGUGGGGGAUAACGUAGGGAAACUUACGCUAAUACCGCAUACGACCUACGGGUGAAAGCAGGGGAUCGUCGGACCUUGCGCGAUUGAAUGAGCCGAUGUCGGAUUAGCUAGUUGGCGGGGUAAUGGCCCAACAAGGCGACGAUCCGUGGCUGGUCUGAGAGGCUGAUCAGCCACACUGGAUCUGAGACACGGUCCAGACUCCUACGGGAGGCAGCAGUGGGGAAUAUUGGACAAUGGGCGCAAGCCUGAUCCAGCCAUACCGCGUGAGUGAAGAAAGCCUUCGGGUUGUGAAGCCCUUUUGUUGGGAAAGAAAAGCAGCAGGUUAAUACCCCGCUGUUCUGACGGUACCCAAAGAAUAAGCACCGGCUAACUUCGUG